GCACAUCUGGGACAUCUGUAGAGCAUGAGACUCUUAAUCUCAGGGUCAUGGGUUUGAGCCCCACAUUGGGCA
Molecule: non-coding RNA, 72 nt
Organism: Podarcis lilfordi (Lilford's wall lizard)
Lineage: Eukaryota; Metazoa; Chordata; Lepidosauria; Squamata; Lacertidae
Source: the annotation of a GenBank genome assembly